UCUUCCAGACACUUUGAAAAUUAAAUCAAUAUUUGAUGUCUACGAAUUUCCUCGCCAUUCAAAACAUUCAUAUUCAAAAUUUUACAUUUCCGUCUUUUGACCGGCAGUGUCAAAUGCUUAAGCGCAGUCUCCAACCAAUGUUAGGCCUGGCGCCCUGUUAACUGUAACAGUGACGCCCACGCCGACGUCGACGUCAAUGAGAGGCGAACGGUAUUUUUGGAAAGCCAUUGAGAGCGAACACGUUUCAAUGUAGUUGUAGCGUAGUAACCGUUCGCGAGAGAGUGAGCGCUAGAGCUUUAAGGACAAUGACGUCAACAGUGCGUGCCUGUGCACCCACACAUUGCAGGUGUUUGUGUAAUAGCAUCUAUAAAAAUGUGCGAGCUGAAGAUGGGAUUUUAUUGGCAACACCUGAACUCACACUUAAAAAGCAGCUGUGUUUCACUGGAAGAAACUUCGCUGUUUAUAGGGCGGGAUUUUAAAACAAUGUGUGGAAAUAGUAAUAAUUUUUUUGCACACAUUCUUCCCAUCUGCUACGUCAUAUUUUGCAAAAAGCAAUUUCGCCCACGCGUCUCUUCUCUCUCCUACACAAUCAACAUCACUUUCUCCGUCUCUCAUUCUCUCGUUCUACCUCUCUCUUUCGCACUUUCUCCUCUGUGCAAUCGAUAAAUGCGUGGUAGGAUGUCAGCUCACUGCGCAGCUUUCGCCUCUGAUGACGUCAAUGGAAAAAGCUCAAUCCAAAACCAAAACAACAACAGUGCCUCCCUUAGGAGACAAACCCCUCCUUCUUAGCAGAGGAAAAUUGACAAAAGCCGGCAAAAGCUUGACAGGCGUCAGGAAAAUUGGAUUAUAGUAAAGCUGAGAAAAGAGAGAGAGAGAGAGAGAGAGCGGGACAGACUAAGAAUCCUUCUGGCGUUGGCGUUGGCUAAUGGCCCUUGAAAUGGCAAAAGUUUGUGAUGCGGGCGGAUCCAGAAUAUAUAUCCAUAUAACAUAAUA
Molecule: long non-coding RNA, 993 nt
Organism: Drosophila simulans
Lineage: Eukaryota; Metazoa; Arthropoda; Insecta; Diptera; Drosophilidae
Exons: 3
Source: RefSeq, a predicted model, not a curated record